AUGGGGCUCAGAAGUGCCCCUAAAUCCUAGUACCUACUAUCUCUUGGGGGACAGUACUAAGAAUCCAUUCAUUUGCCCUGAGGAGGGGCUCUUAUACUCUCCUACCUAUACCUCCUGUGUGUUAUAGUAACUGGGUCAGGGGACUCCAGAGACUUGCUUGCUAAUUAGAUGCCCUAUAAAUGAAUUAAUCUUGUCAAUUGCAGGUGCCGAAACCUCAAGAAGCAGAUGGUGGAGUCAGCCAGAGCCCUCUUACCUUGUCUAGAAGGACCUUGAGGAAUGUCAAGUGGGAAGAAGCCAGUACAAUGUUGAAGAUCAACCAACAUGAGGGUGGAACCUGCAGGAUGUCCCCACCCAAGCCAGCCCAUUCCUGCCUACAAACCAACCAACCCGACUCCUGCUACUGACCACCUGUGAAGUCUCGCAGUGCCCCCAGGGCCACCCAGAAGGAAACUCCCGGAUGCUCCUGUUUAUCUGCCCCUCAAAUGCCAAGUUGAGUUGUCUUUGUCUUUCAUUUAUGCAAGGAGCAGGAGAGGAAGUCCCUGGCCAUUUCAUUGAUGAGCUGUGGCUUUCUGACCAUGCUCAGAGAGUCUGUUCCUAUCUCCAAGAUACCUUUCAGGAAACCAGUUAAGCUUCUUUUUUCUGGGAUAGAGAGAGAGUUCAUGGGCUAAGAGCACUAGCUGCCUUUCCAGAG
Molecule: non-coding RNA, 691 nt
Organism: Mus caroli (Ryukyu mouse)
Lineage: Eukaryota; Metazoa; Chordata; Mammalia; Rodentia; Muridae
Source: RefSeq, a predicted model, not a curated record